Long non-coding RNA from Vespa velutina, 1810 nucleotides. RefSeq lists it as uncharacterized. The transcript is spliced from 4 exons. Lineage: Eukaryota; Metazoa; Arthropoda; Insecta; Hymenoptera; Vespidae. The record is from RefSeq and is a predicted model, not a curated record.
UUGAAUAAUCCAAAGAAAUGAUAUGAAAAAAAAAUAAAAUAGGGAAAUAGAAACAGAGAGAAAGAGAGAGAGAGAGAGAGAGAGAGAGAGAGAGAGAGAGAGAGAGAAAGGAAAAAAUUAUACUCCAUAGUGGUAGUGUAUGAUGGCAGUUCAGCGCGUAAGCAACAGACAGGUAAUCUGCAUGUCUAAUAAUCCGGGAAUCGUUCUCGAUGCAAAUACUUUCAUACCCUGGUGUUCUGACAUUCAACGGGUUGCGCAUCGCAACAGAAGAAAAGAAAUAGUAAUAGAAGAAGAAAAAGAGGAAAAAGUGAGAAAGGGGAGGAUAUUGGGUAAGGAUGAAGAGGGAAGACUAUUCCAAGAAUUUCUUUGACCACCGUGCUGCCUCGUCCUCCUUCUUGUUGUCGUCGCACGUAACCUUUACGCGGGACUCACGAACUCGAGAUUCUUCAUUCCUAUUUCUCUUCGAAGGAACGUUAGAAGGAUCGACAGUUUUGUAGAAAAUGUAUGACCUUUUCUUUAGCAGGUGGACAACGUUGAGAAAGAUGGAACGAGAAAUAUUCUUCUUUUAAAAAAAGAAGGAGGAAAAGGAGGAAGAAACGCGAGCGCGAGAGGGUUAUGAACCCUCUUUCGCGUGGGUCCACGAAUGGAAUGCGUCAUUAAUGGCUCUCAGCAACAAGGUACUACUACCACUGAUCAAGUCUACGGCGCUGAAGUAUUCAUAGGUACGAGCGUGGUCAUUGCAAAUACAAAGGUAAAGGCGUCUUUCUCCUCGUUGCCUCAACUCCUACCGUUCUUGGCUAAGCAUUUACGAAGAAGUGUCAUUGGGAGGUGCAACUACGACAUUCAGGAAAAGGAAAAAGAAAAACUGGAAGAAGAGACGUGGAAGAAUAAACGCGCUUUGUUCAUUUCUCCAAUGUGUCUUCAUCGAUAAAUUUGUGGGGUAAUUUUCUGUCGCGUUUUCAACUUCAAAUAUCCUAACUUUUUUCGAAAGAAAACAUCUUGUAAUUCCAAUCAACCUUCCUGAAUGAAUGCCUAUGAAUACCUUUUAGUCUCGCGUCAAGAACUGAACAGAGAAACAAUCCAGAAUUUUGGAUUAAAUAUAACAAAUUAUGUUUCCCCUUCUAUUACCGAUACUGAGAAAUCAAAAGAGAAUCAAUGACAGUAAUAUAAUCAAUCAAAAAGAAGAAUGUAUUAAUAUAGCAUAAUUGUAUGCCGACGUUUGUCGUAAUGUGUAGAAUAUUGUAAUCUAUAAAACUAUGUGGAUAAUCACAUAGCUCGAACAAUACUCUCUGGACCUCCUCUUUAAACAUAGGACGGAAGAAGACAAAGAAUAGGUUAUAUGUGUGUAUCGUACAAGAGCGACGGGUUUAUUCUGAAGAGAAAGAAAAAGGAGUUAAAGGAGAAGCAGAAGAAGAAGAACGGGAAAAGCAAAGCACUAGACCGAGCUCACGCGCGACCAUACCGAGAUGAAAGAAAUGAAAGUAGAUAUUACGAGUCGCCGGUAGACUUUUGUUCUUCCUGGAAAAAACUUCUGCAAGAAAGGACCGAGAAAUCGCCAAAUGAAUAAGACACGGGCUUCUACGUAGAAUAAUCCGAAGAAUCUUUAAUGGGAAGGUAAACAGAAUGAAUGGCCAUAGAAGAAAGAUCGGCAUAGUCGGCGAAUACCGAUCUUCGAAGGUGGUACAAUGCACACGCUGACCCCGAGAAAUGAAUUCCUAAGAAAGAACGUUCGCUUUAGGAACCUCGAGAGGCGUACGCACGGUAACGGCCUUUCGAUCUUGGGGGACUGUGCUCUUUCUCUUUCUCUCUC